GUGGGGAAUUUUGCGCAAUGGGGGAAACCCUGACGCAGCAACGCCGCGUGCGGGACGAAGGCCUUCGGGUUGUAAACCGCUUUCAGCAGGGAAGACCAUGACGGUACCUGCAGAAGAAGCCCCGGCUAACUACGUGCCAGCAGCCGCGGUAAUACGUAGGGGGCGAGCGUUAUCCGGAUUCAUUGGGCGUAAAGCGCGCGCAGGCGGCCGAUCAAGCGGAACCUCUAAUCCCGGGGCUCAACCCCGCGGCCGGGUUCCGAACUGGUCGGCUCGAGUUCGGUAGAGGAGGGUGGAAUUCCCGGUGUAGCGGUGGAAUGCGCAGAUAUCGGGAAGAACACCGAUGGCGAAGGCAGCCCUCUGGGCCGACACUGACGCUGAGGCGCGAAAGCUGGGGGAGCGAACAGGAUUAGAUACCCCAGUAGUCC
Molecule: ribosomal RNA, 425 nt
Filed under: uncultured bacterium
Lineage: Bacteria
Description: bacterial SSU rRNA
Rfam family: Bacterial small subunit ribosomal RNA
Source: RNAcentral